GACGCCUAAUUUUGUAUUUUUUUUUUUUUUUUAGAGAUGGGGUCUUGCUAUGUUGCCCACGCUUGUCUCCAACUCAGCUCAAGCAAUCCUCCCGCCUCAGUCACUGGGAGUUAAAAGCUGUCUGGGACUUAGAGAAGAGUUACUGGGCUGGCUGUGGUCAGAGACCAGGUGUCUGUGGUGGCUCCAGUCACCAGGCCAGGUGAACUCCUCCAAGCAGAGCUCAGCAGCCCAAUUCUUGGCUCAGAAGAGGUGGGCUUUGGGAUUUGUCCACACUUCGUUUUCCAGGAAGGGCUCCAAAUGCUGAGAAUCUUAAUAAGCUCCUUCUGGGGAGCUUGUUCCACUGUCACCCCACCUUCCUGAGUACUCACGUAUCUAGAGCAACUGGAGCCACGUGCUUGAGAGAGGCUGUGCAACUCACCCACAGCAGCCGCGAUCUGGGCCUCCUCCUAUGUUCCCCUGUUCAGACCCCUGCUCCAUGAACUGGGCGGACCCAUGUCCACUAAAGUGCUGAGGAAGUGACAGCGUGUGAUUUCUGAGGCUAGAUCAUAAAGGGCACAGCAGUUCUCACCUCACUCUUCUGCCUGGGUUACUGCAGAGUAAGCCAGCUACCAGUAAGCCACCCCAGCAACCCUUUGGAGAGGCAUGCGUGGAGAGCAGCCAAGGCCCUGGUGGUCCCCGGCCUCCUUGCCGUGUGAGUGAACCGUGCUGGAAGUGGGUUUUCUGGCUCCAGACCUCAGACACUGCAGCCUGUAUGGCGUCUUCCCUGAGACCUCAUAUGACCUCAAACUCAUACACUGGGUCUGUGGAAGGGAGCAGAUAACCUCUCUGUUUCUAGUUCUUAGACUAAGAGGAACUGGACACCAGGAGCCUCAUACCAGGACUGCCCAGCCGAGCCACUCGAUUCCUGACCCACAUGGCCCUUGAGAUGACAAGUGAUUGCUGCUUAAAGUCACUGAGUUCUGGAAUAAUUUACAUCAUGGCAAUAGGUAACUAAUGCAGAUUCUGGUACCUGGAAAAGGAGUGCUGACAUCAAACAGCUCUAUAGAUGUGGGCGUGGCCUCAGAACUGGCCACAGGCAGGAGCCAGAAGGACUCUGUGGAAAGCGUGAGUGUCUAAGGUGCUUUGAGAGACUGUAUAUAGAAGUCUCAUGGCCUUUAGGGAAGCUGCUGGGGAGGCCUAAAGGAAAGUGAGGAAACUCUUAGUGGAGAUUGGAAGAAACAGGGUCUCUGUUAUGAAAUAAAAGAACAUUUUGUAAAAAUGUGGUUGGUAGCAGAAAUGUAAGUUGAAUGUACCUCAUGAAGUGGGUGGUCUAGCUAAGGAGAUUUUCAGGCAGAAUGUGGAAGGUGUUGCUUGGCUUCUUACUGCUGCUCACAGUAAAAUAGGAGAGAGAGAAGGUAAAAACAAACAAACAAAACUGUUCAACAUAAAGGAACCGGGAUCUGCCGGUUUUAAAAAUGCCCAGCCUCUCCAGAUGGCACAUGAUGCUAACAUUAAGAAAUGGUUUCUAGGCAAAGAUCAAAUUCAGGGCACAGUCAAGAAAACACGGUCUACAGAUUAAACUUAGGAUGUGACUUAAAUCUUUUUGUGAAGACUUCAGAAAGAUCUAAAGUGAUGCCUCAAAGAGC
Molecule: long non-coding RNA, 1625 nt
Filed under: Homo sapiens (human)
Lineage: Eukaryota; Metazoa; Chordata; Mammalia; Primates; Hominidae
Description: PREDICTED lncRNA (TCONS_00002834)
Source: RNAcentral